This is a long non-coding RNA of Saccostrea cuccullata (small rock oyster), 461 nucleotides long. RefSeq lists it as uncharacterized. The transcript has 2 exons. The record is from RefSeq and is a predicted model, not a curated record. NCBI's taxonomy places the organism in Eukaryota, Metazoa, Mollusca, Bivalvia, Ostreida, Ostreidae.
AGUUUGAAAUUUGCAGAUUUCAUUGUGGCGAAAGCACAUUGAAAAGUUAAACAAAAUGUCUUUUGGUCCAGUUAAGGAUGCUGAUCAAGAGCUUCAAAGGAUUGUCGAAUACGUACAUGCUGGGAAGAUUUCUUUCGAAUCGGCUUUGUGUCCUCCUCGUGCGCUCUGUUCCAUCAGUCGCAAUGAUCCAACAUCUAAUGUUACGAUAUAUGUUAUAAAGGUCCUGGUUUCUCAAGAUGGGAAGACCAACUGCACACAUCUUCGCGUUGAAUCUUCUGACGAUACUGAUCGGCUUGUGCGAAAGUUAGAGGAUAAGGCUGUCAUGGAUGCCAUCGAUCCAAAUCAGGUUUAGGAUUGGACUUGUUCUUUUAAAUCAUGGAGGAUAUUGUAUGUCCUUCUAAAGUUAGAGAAUCAAGGACAUUAUGUCUAUUUUAACGAAAUAAAACAAGUCACCUAAAGUU